RNAcentral lists this transfer RNA (66 nucleotides) under Nematostella vectensis (starlet sea anemone). It matches the Rfam family "tRNA". From Rfam's summary of the family: Transfer RNA (tRNA) molecules are approximately 80 nucleotides in length. Their secondary structure includes four short double-helical elements and three loops (D, anti-codon, and T loops). Further hydrogen bonds mediate the characteristic L-shaped molecular structure. tRNAs have two regions of fundamental functional importance: the anti-codon, which is responsible for specific mRNA codon recognition, and the 3' end, to which the tRNAs corresponding amino acid is attached (by aminoacyl-tRNA synthetases). tRNAs cope with the degeneracy of the genetic code in two manners: having more than one tRNA (with a specific anti-codon) for a particular amino acid; and 'wobble' base-pairing, i.e. permitting non-standard base-pairing at the 3rd anti-codon position. Lineage: Eukaryota; Metazoa; Cnidaria; Anthozoa; Actiniaria; Edwardsiidae. The record is from Rfam by way of RNAcentral.
GCUGCGAUGGCCGAGUGGUUAAGGCGUUGGACUUGAAACCCAAUGGGAUCUUCCCUGCUUGCAGCG